RNAcentral lists this ribosomal RNA (253 nucleotides) under uncultured bacterium. RNAcentral's name for it is "partial 16S ribosomal RNA". It matches the Rfam family "Bacterial small subunit ribosomal RNA", at positions 524 to 776 of the family's 1533-position model. The record is from RNAcentral.
UACGUAGGGGGCAAGCGUUGUCCGGAUUUAUUGGGCGUAAAGAGCGUGUAGGCGGCCAUGCAGGUCAGCUGUGAAAACUCGAGGCUCAACCUCGAGACGUCGGUUGAAACCGCUUGGCUAGAGUCCGGAAGAGGAGAGUGGAAUUCCCGGUGUAGCGGUGAAAUGCGCAGAUAUCGGGAAGAACACCCGUGGCGAAGGCGGCUCUCUGGGACGGUACUGACGCUGAGACGCGAAAGCGUGGGGAACGAACAGG